Molecule: ribosomal RNA, 482 nt
Filed under: uncultured bacterium
Lineage: Bacteria
Description: partial 16S ribosomal RNA
Rfam family: Bacterial small subunit ribosomal RNA
Source: RNAcentral
GACGAACGCUGGCGGCGUGCCUAACACAUGCAAGUCGAACGGAACUGUUUUGAAAGAUUUCUUCGGAAUGAAUUUGAUUUAGUUUAGUGGCGGACGGGUGAGUAACGCGUGAGUAACCUGCCUUCAAGGGGGGAAUAACAUUCUGAAAAGAAUGCUAAUACCGCAUGACAUAUCGGAACCACAUGGUUUUGAUAUCAAAGAUUUUAUCGCUUGAAGAUGGACUCGCGUCCGAUUAGUUAGUUGGUGAGGUAACGGCUCACCAACACCGCGAUCGGUAGCCGGACUGAGAGGUUGAACGGCCACAUUGGGACUGAGACACGGCCCAGACUCCUACGGGAGGCAGCAGUGGGGGAUAUUGCGCAAUGGGGGCAACCCUGACGCAGCAACGCCGCGUGAAGGAUGAAGGUUUUCGGAUUGUAAACUUCUUUUAUUAAGGACGAAAAAUGACGGUACUUAAUGAAUAAGCUCCGGCUAACUACGUG